RNAcentral lists this ribosomal RNA (502 nucleotides) under uncultured Corynebacterium sp. RNAcentral's name for it is "partial 16S ribosomal RNA". Lineage: Bacteria; Bacillati; Actinomycetota; Actinomycetes; Mycobacteriales; Corynebacteriaceae. The record is from RNAcentral.
CACGUAGUUAGCCGGUGCUUCUUCUCCACGGUACUGUCACCCACCAAGGUGGGCUUCGUCCCGGGCGAAAGGAGUUUACAACCCGAAGGCCUUCCAUCCCCCACGCGGCGUCGCUGCAUCAGGCUUGCGCCCAUUGUGCAAUAUUCCCCACUGCUGCCUCCCGUAGGAGUCUGGGCCGUGUCUCAGUCCCAAUGUGGCCGUCCACCCUCUCAGGCCGGCUACCCGUCGCCGCCUUGGUAGGCCAUUACCCCACCAACAAGCUGAUAGGCCGCGGGCUCAUCCCACACCGCAAAAGCUUUCCACCAUGACCCCUACGCCAUGGUCGUAUGUGGUAUUAGACCCAGUUUCCCAGGCUUAUCCCACAGUGCGGGGCAGAUCACCCACGUGUUACUCACCCGUUCGCCACUCGAGUACCCACCACCAAGGUGGCAGGCCUUUCCGUUCGACUUGCAUGUGUUAAGCACGCCGCCAGCGUUCGUCCUGAGCCAGGAUCGAAACUACU